CUGUGUGAGGUAGGCUGUGAUACUGUGACUUCAUAGAAGAGGUCAAGAAAAGGUGCUUGUGCUCCCAAUAUUUUAAGGCUCUUUUAAUGAGGACGUUUCCAGCAUGCUCUGCAAUAACAGAACUUCUACAGAAAUUCUCCAAAGAUGGGCGCCUGAGUGGCUCAGUCAGAUUUCCUGUAGUCUUACCUGGACUUUAUCACCACCAUUUGCCAUCAUCAUUAUCUUGAAAUUAUUUUAACAUCGUCAUUACUUUUUAGUUUGUGAACCCUCUCACAUGAGUUACCUCCUUUGCUCUUCCCUGAAAUCCUUCCAGCCUGCCACCACCCUCACCACCUCUUCUACCAUUCUUGCCCCCAACAUCACCACCAGAAACACCAGCAUGAUGAGGUAAGUUGCCGCAAAUUUGAAAGAAACCUAUGUUGAUAAAUUUCUUUUCAAUGGGUAGAUGAAGAAGGAAGAAGGAUGGAAAGAAAGAAGGUUACAUCUUUUGGUGAGAACGAGAAGGCUGUGUGAGGUUACAUCUUGCCCAAGGCUUCAGAGAGACAGAAUCAGGAUUUGAACUGAGUUCUUACUCAGUGAAGUAUGCCUCAUUAUUUCACUUCAAGCAAAGAGCCAACAGAAAAACAUGAAUGGUUCAGUUAAUUAAAUUUAAAUUGAUUUUGAAAUCGGUUGGCACAUUUAUGUAAAUUUUCUGUACUCAUAUCUUAUAAAAGCUGCUUCUGAUCUUCAUUCUGAUAUAAUUAAGAUUUUUAUGUUUUGGUAACCAGCAAGUGCACCAUUUCAAAUUCUACCUUUCUCAUGUAAUAUGUCAUUUUUACUUUCCUGUGUUGUCUAUUUUUUAUAGCUUUAAUUUUAAUAGCUACACAACAGUACGGUCAAUAAACAGUCAUUU
This is a long non-coding RNA of Mustela erminea (ermine), 892 nucleotides long. RefSeq lists it as uncharacterized. The transcript has 4 exons. The record is from RefSeq and is a predicted model, not a curated record. NCBI's taxonomy places the organism in Eukaryota, Metazoa, Chordata, Mammalia, Carnivora, Mustelidae.